This 511-nucleotide ribosomal RNA is filed under the name uncultured marine bacterium. RNAcentral's name for it is "bacterial SSU rRNA". It matches the Rfam family "Bacterial small subunit ribosomal RNA", at positions 377 to 896 of the family's 1533-position model. The record is from RNAcentral.
GGCGAGCUGACCAGCAUCCGCGUGAGGGAUGAAUGCCUGUGGGUCGUAAACCUCUUUUUUCAAGGAGGAAGUUCUGACGUGUACUUGAAGAAUAAGCAUCGGCUAACUCCGUGCCAGCAGCCGCGGUAAGACGGAGGAUGCAAGUGUUAUCCGGAAUUACUGGGCGUAAAGCGUCUGUAGGUGGUUUAGUAAGUCGAUUGUUAAAGCUUGGGGCUUAACUCCAAAACAGCAAUGGAAACUGCUAGACUUGAGUAUGGUAGAGGUAAAAGGAAUUUCCAGUGGAGCGGUGAAAUGCGUAGAUAUUGGAAAGAACACCGAUGGCGAAGGCAUUUUACUGGGCCAUAACUGACACUCAGAGACGAAAGCUAGGGUAGCAAAUGGGAUUAGAUAUCCCCAGUAGUCCUAGCUGUAAACGAGUGGAUAUCUAUGAUGUUGUCAGCGUAUCGACCCUGUGCAGUGUCAUAGCUAAACGCGUUAAGUAUCCCGCCUGGGAAGUAUGCACGCAAGUGUG